GACGAACGCUGGCGGCGUGCCUAAUACAUGCAAGUAGAACGCUGAAGCGAGGAUCUUGCUCUUCUUGGAUGAGUUGCGAACGGGUGAGUAACGCGUAGGUAACCUGCCUUGUAGCGGGGGAUAACUAUUGGAAACGAUAGCUAAUACCGCAUAACAAUGGAUUACACAUGUCAUUUAUUUGAAAGGGGCAAUUGCUCCACUACAAGAUGGACCUGCGUUGUAUUAGCUAGUAGGUGAGGUAAUGGCUCACCUAGGCGACGAUACAUAGCCGACCUGAGAGGGUGAUCGGCCACACUGGGACUGAGACACGGCCCAGACGCCUACGGGAGGCAGCAGUAGGGAAUCUUCGGCAAUGGGGGCAACCCUGACCGAGAAACGCCGAGUGAGGGAAGAAGGUUUUCGGAUCGUAAAGCUCUGUUGUAAGUCAAGAACGGGUGUGAGAGUGGAAAGUUCACACUGUGACGGUAGCUUACCAGAAAGGGACGGCUAACUACGUG
This 497-nucleotide ribosomal RNA is filed under the name uncultured bacterium. Its description in RNAcentral is "partial 16S ribosomal RNA". It matches the Rfam family "Bacterial small subunit ribosomal RNA", at positions 28 to 507 of the family's 1533-position model. The record is from RNAcentral.